GACGAACGCUGGCGGCGUGCUUAACACAUGCAAGUCGAACGGAAAGGCCCUGCUUUUGUGGGGUGCUCGAGUGGCGAACGGGUGAGUAACACGUGAGUAACCUGCCCUUGACUUUGGGAUAACUUCAGGAAACUGGGGCUAAUACCGGAUAGGAGCUCCUGCUGCAUGGUGGGGGUUGGAAAGUUUCGGCGGUUGGGGAUGGACUCGCGGCUUAUCAGCUUGUUGGUGGGGUAGUGGCUUACCAAGGCUUUGACGGGUAGCCGGCCUGAGAGGGUGACCGGCCACAUUGGUCCUGAGAUACGGCCCAGACUCCUACGGGAGGCAGCAGUGGGGAAUAUUGCACAAUGGGCGGAAGCCUGAUGCAGCAACGCCGCGUGCGGGAUGACGGCCUUCGGGUUGUAAACCGCUUUCGCCUGUGACGAAGCGUGCGUGACGGUAAUGGGUAAAGAAGCACCGGCUAACUACGUG
RNAcentral lists this ribosomal RNA (468 nucleotides) under uncultured bacterium. Its description in RNAcentral is "partial 16S ribosomal RNA". It matches the Rfam family "Bacterial small subunit ribosomal RNA", at positions 28 to 507 of the family's 1533-position model. The record is from RNAcentral.